This 692-nucleotide ribosomal RNA is filed under the name Bacillus sp. (in: firmicutes). RNAcentral's name for it is "bacterial SSU rRNA". It matches the Rfam family "Bacterial small subunit ribosomal RNA", at positions 66 to 741 of the family's 1533-position model. Lineage: Bacteria; Bacillati; Bacillota; Bacilli; Caryophanales; Bacillaceae. The record is from RNAcentral.
GCGAAUCAUGAGGUGCUUGCACCUCUUGGUUAGCGGCGGACGGGUGAGUAACACGUGGGCAACCUGCCUGUAAGACUGGGAUAACUUCGGGAAACCGGAGCUAAUACCGGAUAAUCCUUUUCCUCUCAUGAGGAAAAGCUGAAAGUCGGUUUACGCUGACACUUACAGAUGGGCCCGCGGCGCAUUAGCUAGUUGGUGAGGUAACGGCUCACCAAGGCGACGAUGCGUAGCCGACCUGAGAGGGUGAUCGGCCACACUGGGACUGAGACACGGCCCAGACUCCUACGGGAGGCAGCAGUAGGGAAUCUUCCGCAAUGGACGAAAGUCUGACGGAGCAACGCCGCGUGAGCGAUGAAGGCCUUCGGGUCGUAAAGCUCUGUUGUUAGGGAAGAACAAGUACCGGAGUAACUGCCGGUACCUUGACGGUACCUAACCAGAAAGCCACGGCUAACUACGUGCCAGCAGCCGCGGUAAUACGUAGGUGGCAAGCGUUGUCCGGAAUUAUUGGGCGUAAAGCGCGCGCAGGCGGUCCUUUAAGUCUGAUGUGAAAGCCCACGGCUCAACCGUGGAGGGUCAUUGGAAACUGGGGGACUUGAGUACAGAAGAGGAAAGCGGAAUUCCACGUGUAGCGGUGAAAUGCGUAGAGAUGUGGAGGAACACCAGUGGCGAAGGCGGCUUUCUGGUCUGUAACU